RNAcentral lists this long non-coding RNA (1007 nucleotides) under Bos indicus x Bos taurus (hybrid cattle). Its description in RNAcentral is "lncRNA (ENSBIXG00005030580.1)". The record is from RNAcentral. Lineage: Eukaryota; Metazoa; Chordata; Mammalia; Artiodactyla; Bovidae.
UAUCCAUAUUCUUAUUUUUGCCAUUUUACAGAUAAGGUAACUAGAGGCUGGGGAUCUAAAGCUGCUUUACCAAGGUCACAUGGUAAACCGCUAUAAGCUGGAGAGUGAAGCCAAGAGCUCUGUAAUCCCAGGCGAGACCUCCUCUGUUCUGUCUCUUCCCCUCAGCUGGGAAAAUGUCAAAGGAUUUAUCAAAAACAGCCUGCAGCUAGAUUAGGUUGCAGGGAGAAUCUAAAAGCAGUAAUUCUACCUAACAGUGGUCUCAGAUUUGCCAUCCCAGGACCCAUGAAAGCAGCAGAAUGUCACUGGAAGACAUCUGGAGAAAUUGGAAAGAAGAACAGUAUUAAGUGCAUCACCAACCAAAUGCAAAUGAACAAAAUGAACGUCCACCUCCCUGUGCAACAAUGGCAGAGGCGGUUUGCCGGUGUCAGGUAUAUUUGAAUAUGUUACUGACUUACAUGGCACACGAUGUGAUUGAUGCAGGUACUACAUUACAAACCACGGUGGUCUGUUCCAUUGGAACAUGGAUUUGAAAGACUAUUGUUGUUCUUGGUGAGACCUUUUUGACUCCUUUCUGCUUGUACACUUCUUUUUUUUUUUUCCAAAGCAGAUGAUGGGGACUAAUGUCGCAGCCCCUGAACAAAAGGAUUGAAAAAUUUGGACUUUAUUCCUGGCCCAGUCAUACAAUGUUCUCCUCCCUAGACCAUGUUGAUUUUUGUCUGUUCAUUUGUUUGUUUUUCUCUUUCAGGUAAGACUUAAGCCCAUGGUUUUUUUAGAGGUCACUUAAUGUGGUAGAAAGAACACCAGCUUUGGGGUCAGCAAAAUCUGAGUGGUGGUCCUGAUUGUGCCAUGAAUAUGGUGUGAGACUUUAGGCAAAUUAUUUAUUCUUUUGGAGAUUCAGAGUCUUAUCUGAAAAAUGGAAAUCAGAUCGCCCACCUUGCAGAACUGUUUGUGAGAAUUUAAUUAAACUUCAUAAAUAUAGUGACCAGCACAGUAUAAGUUACAUUGUA